UACGGAGGGUGCUAGCGUUGUUCGGAAUCACUGGGCGUAAAGGGCGUGUAGGCGGUCUGUUAAGUCUGAUGUGAAAUCCCCUCGCUCAACGAGGGAACUGCGUCGGAUACUGGCAGACUCGAGUACCGGAGAGGAAGGUGGAAUUCCCGGUGUAGCGGUGAAAUGCGUAGAUAUUGGGAAGAACACCGGUGGCGCAGGCGACUUGCUGGGCUGUAACUGACGCUGAGGAACGAAAGCUAGGGGAGCAAAUGGG
RNAcentral lists this ribosomal RNA (253 nucleotides) under uncultured bacterium. RNAcentral's name for it is "partial 16S ribosomal RNA". It matches the Rfam family "Bacterial small subunit ribosomal RNA", at positions 524 to 776 of the family's 1533-position model. The record is from RNAcentral.